GAUGAACGCUGGCGGCGUGCCUAACACAUGCAAGUCGAGCGAACCCUUCGGGGUGAGCGGCGGACGGGUGAGUAACGCGUGGGUAACCUGCCCUAUACACACGGAUAACGUACCGAAAGGUACGCUAAUACGGGAUAAAGUUGUUGGAUGGCAUCUUCUAACAAUCAAAGCUCCGGCGGUAUAGGAUGGACCCGCGUCUGAUCAGCUAGUUGGUGAGGUAAUGGCUUACCGAGGCGACGAUCAGUAGCCGACCUGAGAGGGUGAUCGGCCACACUGGAACUGAGACACGGUCCAGACUCCUACGGGAGGCAGCAGUGGGGAAUAUUGCACAAUGGGCGAAAGCCUGAUGCAGCAACGCCGCGUGAGCGAUGAAGGUCUUCGGAUCGUAAAGCUCUGUCCUCAAGGAAGAUAAUGACGGUACUUGAGGAGGAAGCCCCGGCUAACUACGUGCCAGCCGCCGCAGUAA
RNAcentral lists this ribosomal RNA (466 nucleotides) under uncultured bacterium. Its description in RNAcentral is "partial 16S ribosomal RNA". It matches the Rfam family "Bacterial small subunit ribosomal RNA", at positions 28 to 523 of the family's 1533-position model. The record is from RNAcentral.